UACGUAGGCAGCAAGCGUUGUUCGGAGUUACUGGGCGUAAAGGGUGCGUAGGCGGCCCUGUAAGUAUGGUGUGAAAUCUCCCGGCUUAACUGGGAGGGUGCGCUAUAGACUGCGGGGCUCGAGUGUAGGAGAGGAAAGUGGAAUUCCUGGUGUAGCGGUGAAAUGCGUAGAUAUCAGGAGGAACACCGGUGGUGUAAACGGCUUUCUGGACCAUAACUGACGCUGAGGCACGAAAGCGUGGGUAGCAAACAGG
Molecule: ribosomal RNA, 253 nt
Filed under: uncultured bacterium
Lineage: Bacteria
Description: partial 16S ribosomal RNA
Rfam family: Bacterial small subunit ribosomal RNA
Source: RNAcentral